This 45-nucleotide non-coding RNA is filed under the name Echinostoma caproni. The record is from RNAcentral. Lineage: Eukaryota; Metazoa; Platyhelminthes; Trematoda; Plagiorchiida; Echinostomatidae.
GCACUGUUGACGAGUCCCAAACGGGACGAAAGAGCUGUCCAGUAC